UGCUUAAAAAAAACCCAAAAAUCAACCCACUGAUCACCUUUGGAGGAGUCCAGAGAACCGAUUUAUUAUUCUGAAAACUAGGAAACAAAGGGAAAGAAUAAAACGUGUCUACUGUCUUUCUUGAAGAGCUACAGGCUGGCUCCGGACCCACCUGGUCAGGCUCAGGCCUGGGGGGAAGAAGGAAAAAAGUCACAGCAUUCAACAAGGCUCAGCUGUAAUCUGGGGUCGAUGCCCUCUGCUUGUGGCAGAAGCAAACUGAUUUGCAUACUGGCCCUCAGGGGAAGAGUCAAGGUGGCUGUGGCCUUUUUUUGACAGCCAGAAGAAUGAAGUCUAAUGGUGAGCCAUGCUGCUUGAGGCAGAGGAAAAAGUCCUGACCUGAGUCACAAGUACUGGGAUGGAAUCCAGCUCUGCAUUCUGACACUGAGCAAGAUAAUCCUGAGCCUUCAUCACUG
Long non-coding RNA from Felis catus (domestic cat), 452 nucleotides. RefSeq lists it as uncharacterized. The record is from RefSeq and is a predicted model, not a curated record. NCBI's taxonomy places the organism in Eukaryota, Metazoa, Chordata, Mammalia, Carnivora, Felidae. The transcript is spliced from 4 exons.